This 377-nucleotide ribosomal RNA is filed under the name uncultured bacterium. Its description in RNAcentral is "bacterial SSU rRNA". It matches the Rfam family "Bacterial small subunit ribosomal RNA", at positions 521 to 896 of the family's 1533-position model. The record is from RNAcentral.
UAAGACAGAGGUGCCAAGCGUUAGGCGGAAUCACUGGGCUUAAAGCGUGUGUAGGCGGAUUUCUAAGUACCUUGUGAAAUCCCACGGCUCAACCGUGGAACUGCUUGGUAUACUGGUUAUCUUGAGCCACUUAGGGGCGACCGGAACAAAUGGUGGAGCGGUGAAAUGCGUAGAUAUCAUUUGGAACGCCAAUGGUGAAAACAGGUCGCUGGGAGUGUGCUGACGCUGAGACACGAAAGCCAGGGGAGCGAACGGGAUUAGAUACCCCGGUAGUCCUGGCCGUAAACGAUGUCAACUAGAUCGUGGUGCCUCUGACGGUAUCACGGUCGAAGCAAAAGUGCUAAGUUGACCGCCUGGGAAGUACGGUCGCAAGGCUA